Long non-coding RNA from Gallus gallus (chicken), 6946 nucleotides. RefSeq lists it as uncharacterized. The record is from RefSeq and is a predicted model, not a curated record. NCBI's taxonomy places the organism in Eukaryota, Metazoa, Chordata, Aves, Galliformes, Phasianidae. The transcript has 3 exons.
AGAUUGAGUCUGUGAUUUGGGUUCAGCGCUGCAGGGGAAGGAGGCUCUCACUGUGGCAUUAAGAGAGGUAAUCUGACUGCCAGCACUUUCAUAUGGAAUAGCUAACACAGAUAGAAUUUAACUCAAUUUAACAAGCACCGUUUUUCCCUUUUUUUACUAAAUGUGUUCAUGAAUGCCUGUGGCAGCACUUAUAUGAGAGGUCAGACCGAGCAGCUGUUGCCAUCGUAACUUCCUAUUUAGUCACACUUGACAAAGCCGUGGUUUUCUAUCUUCUUGAAAGAUCAAUGUUUGAUCUCUGCUCAAAUUGACUAAGUAAAUAAAACACCGGGUGAUGUCCUUUUGGACACCUGGGAGUGAAAAACGUGGAGAAGUAAGUUCAUCUGGUCUGCUGUAGGCUGAGAGGAAUGACUCCCAGGACACCUUUCUCUACACUGCUUCAGCCAAAGGGCCUGGUUCUGCAGCAGGAUGGAUGCUUCCACCUGUAUAUGGACGCAUGCCUCUCGCUCCAGCUCCUUCAAAGACAGAAGUAACGAAUUUCUGCUUCUAUCUCUUACCUGAAUGCUGAGUGCACAUAAUACAGACGUCCAUGAAAUCUUAGGAAUCACGUAAUAGUCAGAAUUCAAUGACUACAGAGUUGCAUUUGUUCAAUUCUUUUUGCACUGUGGGCACACACUUAAUAAUGACCUCUAAACUUCUGCUGGCAGUCAUUCUCACCUUUCUCCUUAGGAUGCAACUUGCUCAGCAUUUAAGCAGACAAAUGUGUCACUGCUAUCACAUAGAGGGGAGGGAAGGGGAAAGGGAAAGGGAAGAGGAAGGAGAAGGUGGAGGGGAAAGAGAAGGGGAAUGGGAAGGGGAAGGUUGCUUUCAACCAAGUUGGUCUCUUGAUGCUGUUUUGCCAUGUUAACCCAGAAGUGGCUGCGCUGACAAAGACAGCAAGGCUCGGUGUGAUGGUUAAAGACAAGGGGGGAGCAGGACAACCUCUUGCAGUGUCUGUGCUGGCUUGGAGUGUUUGUCAAACAGUACCCCCUUCAGCUCAAUCGUUUAUUUCAAGUAACACCUCCUCCUCGAGAAUUCUUUGCAUCGCUGAUACGUGUCACAUGGACUGAGUGCGGCUGGUGACAUCUCACCCUGGAGCUGUGUGUGUCCAAGGCUGACUCACACUGCCUGGGAUGCCACGUAGGAGUCCUAGCCACUGGAGUUUGACCCACAGUUAGGAUCAAAUACUCAGUGAUAACGAAUGAGAAGACCUUGCUGUGGCCUGUCAGAAAGGCAGGAGUAAAACAAAAGCUUAUUUAUGAUUACCUGUUCCUGUAAUUAAAGUGGUAGCACAAUGAAGUCUCAAUCCAAUUGAAAGUUCUUUGAUUACAGUGUUUAAAAAUGUGCCUUCAUUAAAAACUCAGCAGGUCAACUUCAUUUGUAAUUGUAAACAUUAAUAAGUGGCACAGGAAAAUCAGAGCAGCCUGGAGGAUCUGGGGAUGGUGGCUGCUUCUGGGAUGAGGGGCAGGAUCCACCUCAUCCCUUUUCCUUCCAGAGGGAAGGUAGCCUUGUGAGGCUCUGCCCUCUGCUGUGGGACCACCAUCCUCUGCUCUGAGCACAGACAGAGAAAGCCCCCAGGAAGCAGCAUGGGACCAUGUGCUCUUUUCCUCCCAGAGAACCAAGUGUUGGCAAAUGACUUUGAUGGCAACUUUGGUUAGAAGUUUCAGACUGAUUUUAUUACAUAGCUACAAGAGAAAUUGGGAUAUCCAAGUAAUUAGAAAAAAAUAAAAAAAAGAUCCCAGUUGCUGGCUUUGUGCAGAUACUCUUCUGACCAGGACAGAGAAGUGUUGGUCAUGAAAAUGACCAGAACAGCAGCAGUGACCUCCAUGACUCAGCCUGGGCUUUGGUCCCAUAGCUGCCCUUUUGUUGAAGCCUGAUUUGAGGUCCCUGAGAUGGGAUUCAGGUCUUACUCGGCUAGGCUCAGGUUUUUGCAGCGGUGAUGAAGCAACAGUCAGUAAGAAGAUGAUGGACUAACAGUGAAUCAGUAUUAAAGGCACUCAGAAAACCAUGACCCCAUUUGAUAGAGCUGCCUAGUGAUCACUGCUGAUUAUACCAUAGUAAAAUAACUUCUCCCUGGCGGUUCAGCCCCUUCCCUCUGGUCUCAGCUGUGCCUUCCCUCCCAUCAAUGCUCCUGUGACACUGAGGUGAGCCAGACCAGGAAGCCAAAGUGCCAGAAAAUGCAUCCCUCCUCCUGAUGGGUGAGCUUCAGAUAGCUGCCAGCAGUGCUGGAGGAGCCCCAGUGACAGGGAGUACGAGGCAGAGAGGUAGGACUGGGAGUGGGGCAUAGUGGAGGGGAAUGGGGCUGCCUCCGCAGCUGCACCAAGCUGUUUGACAGGAUCCACUGUCAUGUCAGACACACCUUGAGUUACACCAUGCCACCACUACGGCUGGCUGUGCAGGGAGGGUUGGUUACCAGCAGUUAUGUGGGUGGCAACAUGGCCUCAUGCCGUUGCCUUCUCGUCCAAGGGCAGGAUUACCUGCAGCCUUAAAGGAAGUGUUCACUAUAGAGAGAGUCCCAUCAGUUUCAGAGGUGGGCCUGAAGGGAUUGAACUUCUGCGUGUAGAUCAACCUGCAGGGGGGUUCCUGUCAGGUGCAGUUAGGGAUGCUCAACUGGAAUGACAGAAGUAUAAACCAUGAGCUAAAUGUGCAUACCUGUGCAGCAGUGUUACAGAAGGAGCUGAGGUAGGACAUUUUGGAGUGAGACUGGUCUCUUCUAACUUUAGAUAGAAUAAUAGAACUACAAAAUAAUUAAGCUUGGAAAAGACCUCUAAGACCAUCUGGUCCAACCAGCAGCCCAUCACACCGUGCCCACUGCCCAUGGCCCUCAGUGCCACAUCCACACGGCUCUGGAACACCUCCAGGAAUGGUGACUCCACCACCUCCCUGGGCAGCCUGUGCCACUGCCUCACUGCUCUUCCUGAAAUGAAAUUGUUCCUAAUAUCUAAACUGAAACUUCCGUGGUGCAACUUCAGGCCAUUCCCUCUCAUCCUAUCACUGAGGCCAACCCCCACAUUGCUACAGACAGGUGUAGGGAGCCACACCUGACGAAGCUUGCAAGGCUCCCUUUGAAGUCAACUGGAGGGAAACAGGCUUUUUCAGGAUACAGCUCAUCUGAUCCUGAUGUAGAUACACACAAGUAAAGGUUAUAAAUACCCUAAAAUUUUGAAGGGGCUUUAUCCCCAUAGGCAUCUAUUUGUAAAUGAGAGAAUGGUGCCUGUUUCUUUCCAGCUGGCACUCUAGAGAACCUUCGACGGCUAAUGGGAGCACACACUUGGCCAGAUGAAUCCCAUCAUUUCUCUCCUGGGAUAUGAGGGUUGAGGAAAUGUGAGGAAAUAUUUCUGCAUGUUUGCAGAAUCAUAAACACAUUCUCAUCACAAAGCAGGAGCUAAAAAUUGCAUCAGACUUGGAGGGAAAGGUAGUGAUGAAAGAAGGAACUGCAUUCCAUUCUCCAAAGGACGAAGAACAAAAAAGCUUUUGAAAGAAGAACCGCCACAAACUCAGCUUUGUUCUGGACUGAUGCAGAUUUCUCUAUGCAGUGUGAUGCUGACCGCACAGCUGCUUCUUUAGAGCUUAGCCUUAACACCUGUGCUGCAGUUUGUUUUGGUUUGUUUUGACAUUAGGGUCUUACAAUCUUUUCUUUUUUGGAGUUAUUGUUUAGGAAAGUGUUUUUUGGCUCACUUCAGUGCCACAGACAGAGGUUACUCAAUUUUCAUUCUGAAGACUAAUCUACUCUUAUGGCUGUGUAAACAUUUGAGGCAGUAAUUGCUCAGCAAUAGCCCUGCUCUGUUCAGGUCUCUGUCACAACGUUUUGCCAGCAAUGGGAAACUGCCAACACACCUAUGUCUCCUGGGGGUAUGAAGAAACAAAAUCCUCACUGCUGCCAGAAGAAACUCCUUGUACAAACACGGUGAAACCUGCAAUACAGCACUUCCAUCGACAGCACUCAUUUCCUUCAAGAGGUGGUGGUUCUGCUACAGCAGUAGUACAGCAAGAUUUAUCAGUUCAGCCAUACCACAGGAGGGAUGUUUUGUCAACAGAGAGCACCAGUUCCGCAUCUCUUGUACAUCUGGUACAAGAAAUGGCACCUAUUGUACUUGACCUUGAUGUCUGCAUGGUUUAUUUCUUCUAGAAAAGGUUUUGACUGCUGAUUUAAAGAGCCACACUUCAUCACAGCCUGCUAAACUCCCCUUGCGUUAUUUUAUGAAACAGAACUUAAUACAUCCAAGAUUCUUACAAAUGCGUAAAACAUGUGCUUGAGAAUGUGUUAUUAUUCUUAAACAUUCCUCCUUAGCUUUGGGAUUAAGCUGGAGUUUAGUUUAAAUGAGGGGCACAACUGGCCGUAGCACGGUGGUGCUUAGCUAGUUUCAGGCAAAAACAUGCACUCGUUCUGGUAAUACUCUAGGAAAAUACACUCAGAGAGCUUGUUUCUCCUUGAGAAGAGUGUGUAUUCCCUUGCCUCAGCUUCUACUUGGGAAGAGACAGCAUGCAAAACAAUGCUGUCAUUGAAGUCGGGCCGCUAAUAUUUGAUCCUCCAAGGGUUAAACAGUGUCACUGAACUGAUUCGUUUCCUCUCUGUCAGACAGAACUACGCUGUAUGAAAUAAUCUGUUUAUAUUCCUUUCCCAUUCCGCACAGACUUACAGAGCACAUUAACAUGGCUGUGUCAAGCACUCACAUUCCUUUAGUAAAGAGCAAUUUAAAAGUAAUUUUUUGAGAGGGUCGUGGGUUUUUGUUUUCUUUUCUUUUUUACUUUAAAUGGAAGUGAUCGUCUGAAAGUUUUGCAUUGGAGAAGUAAUAGGUCUGGAUACAGCAUUUUCAAGUGUUUGGAGUGAUAUUCCAUGCCCCUGGAGACCAGCGAUUGAGCAGAUUUCUCUGAGUCUAUCUGGGACAAAUGAGAUAGAUGCUUAAGUUCGGGUGUACGAUUCGCGGGAGAAAAUUCAGGCUACUAUUAAGUAAUCCUUUUGGAUAAUGGAAAGGAAAAUGUCCUUUUAUAGAAGAAGUUUUGUGAAGUACAUAUGCCUGUUGGACAAUUGCUGGGAGAAAAACUCACUGGCAGCUCUUACAGUCAAUGUGGAGAUGUGACACUGAGGGACGUGGUCAGUGGGCGUGGUGGUGGUGGGCUGAUGGUUGGAGUAGAUGGUCUAAGUGGUCUUUUCCAACAUUAAUGAUUCUAUGAUUCUGCGUGGGAGCAUAUCAUGGAAAUGUUUGGUCUGUCUGUGUUGAACUGAACCUGGCCGGGGGCAUAGUGAGGAGAAGAGGGGGAAUCGGGGCUGUGAAAGUCUCAUUCCAGACAGUCUUUGACCAUGCUGCAAGAUGCUCAGUGAUUCUGCCCAGGCUGUGCUCUCUACUCAGUUGCACAGGAAAUAGUGACGAGGUUGGUGAUGAGCUACAAAAGCUGUUUUGAAGUCAUAGGAGUAGAAGCAGGAUAUGGGAGUCAGGGGGGAAAUAGGGGAAAACAGGGAAGGGAAAACAGACACUGGGGAAAGAGAGCAGAAAGAAGAAUUUUUGCCUAAACUCCCUCUCCUCCAUGGUCUUUGUGCAGCUUUGUCUUGCUCUGAGAACAGCUGCACAAGCCAUAAUUUGAGGUAGGUCCUUUCCCUGACCUCUUUGUAUUCCCCGCUACCUAAUUUCCUCAAGCUGAAACAAACAGGAAACAUGCCUGCAAGGUCUAUGUGUCUGUCUGUCUGUAUUUAUACGGUGCAGGUGAUGAGCCAGUGGAGAGAAAAGCCUCACUUUGUGACUCCACUGCUCUGCGUCUGUGCUGCAGUAGAGCAUUUCCAUGUUGUUAUUUCAUUGCUGCUCAGUGUAAGUCGUCUUCCUCCUGCCAGCCCUGCAAUGAAGGCAGGCACCUUCCCAGCCCAGGAGUGCAGGCUGCCUACUGGGUUUGGCAAGCAGCAAUUUCAGAGGAAGGUUGGCAAUUCACUGUGAGGCAGGACUGCAGAAGGCUCCUUGGCUAGGACAGAGGGAUUGCAGUGAAAAGUUCCCAAAGGGAAUAUAAGCCAUGAUAUUUGCUUAGCAGGAAAGCGCUGGCAUGUGCCAAUGCCUUCUUGCAUCCAUCCCUAAUAUCUGGCUAAAGUAACGUUUCCAUAUACUGUAGGAUGAAAGAUCCCUCAAGUUAACUUCUCUUAAAGAUGACAAAGCUUUCUCCUGUAGCUUCCACUGAUGCUGUUGUUUACCCCCUUACCCACAGGUGUUUCCCCAACCAUUAGUGCUACCAUCUGCCUUCACGUGCAUGACCUCAGCCUCUGAGUGGUGCAGGUGGACAUGGAGCCCCAUCCCUGAGCAGAAGCGUGGUUCCUAAAGCCCACAAGCAUUUCUCCAGCUCAGGCCUUGCUCAGCCUAUGCACAGAACCAAGCUGCCUAAGGAAAGAAAAGCUUGUCUAAUGCUGAAUGGGGAGUAAAUAAUAUCUGUACCGCAUGGUGAUUCAAAGGAAAAUGGAAGCAUGAAAGAGUGGUGAUUGACACUCAGUGCUUGAAAGACACACAAACAAAUCCUAGUUAAGUCUCUCUUCUAAGUGAAUCAUUGCCACUGGUAUUCAGAUGUCAAAAGAUACUAACGUUCAAAAUGAUCGCUGAGAUGGCAGUUCUCUUCUAAAUCUAUAUGUUACCUUUGGCAGUGACAUUUCUCUGUUGGCCUUGACUUGGAAGUGAAUAACUGGGGACUUCAGAGACUCCAUUUUAAACAAUGCUGCCCAGCACAAAAUAGACUCUGCUGUUCUUCCAAAAAAAAUAUGUGCCUGCCUGACAUUUUCUAGCAAAGCUGCUGGCGCUAUCAUUUCCAGUCUUAUGAUUUUAGCAAGUUGGGGAAAAUAUGGAAGGAGAAAUACUAUGUAGAUAAUAGGACUGAAGAAAAUGGCCUUGUGCUUAGCAAAAAUUUCAUUUCAGGUUCUAAAUAAAGAAAAAAAAAUAUA